Molecule: ribosomal RNA, 492 nt
Filed under: uncultured bacterium
Lineage: Bacteria
Description: partial 16S ribosomal RNA
Rfam family: Bacterial small subunit ribosomal RNA
Source: RNAcentral
AGUGAACGCUGGCGGUAGGCCUAACACAUGCAAGUCGAACGGCAGCACAGUAAGAGCUUGCUCUUACGGGUGGCGAGUGGCGGACGGGUGAGGAAUACAUCGGAAUCUACUUUUUCGUGGGGGAUAACGUAGGGAAACUUACGCUAAUACCGCAUACGACCUACGGGUGAAAGCAGGGGAUCUUCGGACCUUUCGCGAUUGAAUGAGCCGAUGUCGGAUUAGCUAGUUGGCGUGGUAAAGGCCCACCAAGGCAACGAUCCGUAGCUGGUCUGAGAGGAUGAUCAGCCACACUGGAACUGAGACACGGUCCAGACUCCUACGGGAGGCAGCAGUGGGGAAUAUUGGACAAUGGGCGCAAGCCUGAUCCAGCCAUACCGCGUGGGUGAAGAAGGCCUUCGGGUUGUAAAGCCCUUUUGUUGGGAAAGAAAAGCAGCAGGUUAAUACCCCGCUGUUCUGACGGUACCCAAAGAAUAAGCACCGGCUAACUUCGUG